Molecule: ribosomal RNA, 200 nt
Filed under: uncultured prokaryote
Description: partial 16S ribosomal RNA
Rfam family: Bacterial small subunit ribosomal RNA
Source: RNAcentral
GUCAAAUCAUCAUGCCCUUUAUGAUUUGGGCUACACACGUAAUACAAUGGCACUUUAACAGAGGGAUGCGAAGCCGCGAGGCGGAGCGAAACCCCAAAAAGUGUCCCAGUUCGGAUUGCAGGCUGCAACCCGCCUGCAUGAAGUCGGAAUUGCUAGUAAUCGCGGAUCAGCACGCCGCGGUGAAUACGUUCCCGGGCCUU